RNAcentral lists this transfer RNA (71 nucleotides) under Schistosoma mansoni. The record is from RNAcentral. Lineage: Eukaryota; Metazoa; Platyhelminthes; Trematoda; Strigeidida; Schistosomatidae.
CCCCUAGUGGUCUAGGGGUGUGAUACUCGCUUCGGCUGCGAGUGGUCCCGGGUACAAAUCCCCGCUGGGCC